GCGUAGGGAUCUGUCCAUCAGAGGGGGAUAGCCCGGGGAAACUCGGAUUAAUACCGCAUACGCCCUUAGGGGGAAAUGGUGGCCUCGGCUGCCGCUGAUGGGUGAACCUGCGUGAGAUUAGCUAGUUGGUGAGGUAAAGGCUCACCAAGGCGACGAUCUCUAGCUGUUCUGAGAGGAAGAUCAGCCACACUGGGACUGAGACACGGCCCAGACUCCUACGGGAGGCAGCAGUGGGGAAUAUUGGACAAUGGGGGAAACCCUGAUCCAGCCAUGCCGCGUGUGUGAAGAAGGCUUUCGGGU
RNAcentral lists this ribosomal RNA (300 nucleotides) under uncultured Alteromonadales bacterium. Its description in RNAcentral is "bacterial SSU rRNA". It matches the Rfam family "Bacterial small subunit ribosomal RNA", at positions 115 to 423 of the family's 1533-position model. Lineage: Bacteria; Pseudomonadati; Pseudomonadota; Gammaproteobacteria; Alteromonadales. The record is from RNAcentral.